Molecule: transfer RNA, 363 nt
Filed under: uncultured Microcystis sp.
Lineage: Bacteria; Bacillati; Cyanobacteriota; Cyanophyceae; Chroococcales; Microcystaceae
Description: partial 16S-23S ribosomal RNA intergenic spacer
Rfam family: tRNA (bases 135-208)
Source: RNAcentral
AAGGGAGACCUAAUUCAGGUAGGAGACGAAAAAAAAGUAGUCGCUACCAAGAAUCAAUCCCAAAAGGUCGGAGCGAGGCGAAAUUGGCCUUCAAACUAGGUUCUGGGUUCACACAAGACCUGAAUCAGGAACAAGGGCUAUUAGCUCAGGUGGUUAGAGCGCACCCCUGAUAAGGGUGAGGUCCCUGGUUCGAGUCCAGGAUGGCCCACCUGUACAGGUGGCAAAAAGAAAGAAAAGAAGCGAGGAAUCAGCACCUUAUCUUACUGACAUAGUAAGAGAGAAUGCUGGCUCUGAGUAAAGAGUCCAGAGGAACCUUGAAAACUGCAUAGAGCUAGGUGAAAAAGCCAAAAAAGAAGACCGCAA